GCUUCCUACGGGACGCAGCAGUGGGGAAUAUUGGACAAUGGGGGAAACCCUUAUCCAGCGACGCCGCGUGAGGGAAGAAGGUUUUCGGAUUGUAAACCUCUGUCAGUGGGGACGAUAAUGACGGUACCCACGGAGGAAGCCACGGCUAACUACGUGCCAGCAGCCGCGGUAAUACGUAGGUGGCAAGCGUUGUCCGGAAUUCCUGGGUGUAAAGGGAGCGUAGGCGGGAUGUCAAGUCAGAAGUGAAAAUUAUGGUCUCAACUCAUAACCUGCUUUUGAAACUGAUAUUCUUGC
RNAcentral lists this ribosomal RNA (294 nucleotides) under uncultured bacterium. Its description in RNAcentral is "partial 16S ribosomal RNA". It matches the Rfam family "Bacterial small subunit ribosomal RNA", at positions 334 to 645 of the family's 1533-position model. The record is from RNAcentral.